Molecule: ribosomal RNA, 433 nt
Filed under: uncultured bacterium
Lineage: Bacteria
Description: partial 16S ribosomal RNA
Rfam family: Bacterial small subunit ribosomal RNA
Source: RNAcentral
AACGAACGCUGGCGGCAGGCCUAACACAUGCAAGUCGAGCGCGCCCUUCGGGGUGAGCGGCGGACGGGUGAGUAACGCGUGGGAACGUUCCCUUUUCUACGGAAUAGCCUCGGGAAACUGAGAGUAAUACCGUAUACGCCCUUUGGGGGAAAGAUUUAUCGGAAAAGGAUCGGCCCGCGUUGGAUUAGGUAGUUGGUGGGGUAAUGGCCUACCAAGCCGACGAUCCAUAGCUGGUUUGAGAGGAUGAUCAGCCACACUGGGACUGAGACACGGCCCAGACUCCUACGGGAGGCAGCAGUGGGGAAUCUUAGACAAUGGGGGCAACCCUGAUCUAGCCAUGCCGCGUGAGUGAUGAAGGCCUUAGGGUUGUAAAGCUCUUUCAGCUGGGAAGAUAAUGACGGUACCAGCAGAAGAAGCCCCGGCUAACUCCGUG